CUCUGUCACAGGAGCACCUGGGAAACCUCAGGUCAUUGGCUCUAGGGCCUAUGGGAGGGUCCCCACCCCGACCCUGAACAGGACAGGGGAAGGGAGAACACCCAGGGAACUGAAUCGUGAAACGCGGGAAGUAAACACGGUCCUGCCAUGUUUGCAAGGCGAUUUCCCACAGUGAGCAUGCAAAAAGAAGGGUCAUAGCUGGAGAGUGCACGGCAGCUCCAAGGGCUCUGUUCCUUGUACUUUCUCUGGCGAUUACUCUUAUUUUUCUGCAGCUCAACAAGGACAGUCCGCUGAUGUGAGCGUCUUGUGACUUCUCCCCCAGCGCAGCCUGCCUGGCAGCUUCCUGUGCUCCCAGCACGAAGCAGAAGAUGACCUUCAGCCAGAGGAGAGAGUGCAGUGCGGAUGAGAAGGACAUGGCACAGGGACGGGCCUGGUUGUUGGGGCGGGGACAGAAAUCCAUUUCCCUCUUUUCCUCCAACCCAGUGUGGGCGACUUCCUGAGUCUCCACAGUCUGAGGCUCUCACUGACCUGCUCCAAGUCUACCACGGGUUUCUUCGGCAGAUGGGACCCCUUGGCCUGUGCUACUCAGCACUGAGGUCGCGUGUGCAGCCUCCUGUGUGGAAGCUUCUGUAGUGCCUGCUGCUCUGGGCACCCGGGGCCCAAGCCUGCCUGCCCCCUGAAGCCUUCACCAGGUCAGGCAGGUGGCACGCACCCUGUGAGCUCCCUCAGCCGGAUGAAUCAGCCGCUUCACCCCACGCACCAGGACGGACACCCUGCUUUGAGUGUGUUAUGGGGACUCAGAAGCAGGAAGGAGCCUGGAUCGAGCUGCAGCCUGGUCUUGUCUGUCACUCCUCGGGAAGCAUGAGACAGAGGAGAUGCCACUCACUGUGGAGAACCGAGGGUUGCAGGGAGCUUUAAAGAUGCCCCAGGCCCCAGUCUCUGCUGCCCAGCCCAGGUCUGGAGCCACCUCAGAGUGAGCCACGCACGUGAGGGCAAAAGCAGGUGGAGUCUAGUGGCCACCUGGACAUGGGUCAGACAUGUGGGAAGUAGAAAAGCUCCUGUUUAAAGUUUCCUUUCUUGUUAAAGAACAAGUGUGCUAGUAACUGUGAAGCUCUGUCCUACGUAGCUGUUAGACCUGCCAUGCUUACAGGCACGUAGUACAUUCUAUGUCCUUGUACUUUAACCAAGAUACCUGGGCUGGACAUGCUCACAGGCAUGUCCCAGCUCUCCAUGGCUUUUACCUGUUUAGAAGUUUUAAGUUGUUGACCAAUCGGGUUUUAGUUUACAUUGUGAGGUCUGGCUCCAACCAGCGGAGACCAGACACAGCAGUAAGGAUGACCCCAAAUGCAUAAGGCACAAAUUUGUGGGUUUUCUUUUGUUCUUUUUACUCUCAUUGCAAGAUGGCUAGUGAGGGUGCCCUUUCUGCAGCCCAGGAAGUAAAAAUUGUGUUG
This is a non-coding RNA of Callithrix jacchus (white-tufted-ear marmoset), 1451 nucleotides long. NCBI's taxonomy places the organism in Eukaryota, Metazoa, Chordata, Mammalia, Primates, Cebidae. The record is from RefSeq and is a predicted model, not a curated record.